CCAGAGUUCAUACUCUGGUAUCCUGUACUGAAUUCAUAGGUACAGGAGGGGAACCGCCUGAACUGAAACAUCUAAGUAGGGCGAGGAAGAGACAUCAAAUGAGAUUCCGUUAGUAGUGGCGAGCGAACGCGGAAGAGGGCAAACCGGGAGGAGAAAUCCUUCCGGGGUAUGGACCGCUUUUAGGACUUAAGCUGUUAAUCGAAUGGCAUGGGAAGGCCAACCAAAGAGUGUGAGAGUCACGUAGAUGAAAACGGCGAGAGCUGCGCGAGUUCCGGAGUACGGCCAGACACGUGAAACCUGGUCGGAAGAUGGGGGGACCACCCUCCAACCCUAAAUACUACCCAGUGACCGAUAGCGUAUAGUACUGUGAAGGAAAGGUGAAAAGGACCCCGGGAGGGGAGUGAAAUAGAACCUGAAACCUUGUGCCUACAAGCACAUAGAGCACAUCAACGUGUGAUAUGGUACUUUUUGUAGAACGGUCCGGCGAGCGAUUGUAUGUUGCGAGCUUAAGGUCUUAAGGACUGGAGGCGCAGCGAGAGCGAGUCUGAACAGGGCGUUCAGUAACAUGCAAUGGGCCCGAAACCGGGUGACCUACCCAUGAUCAGGCUGAAGUGAAAGUAAAAUUUCAUGGAGGGCCGAACCGACCUCCGUUGAAAAGGCGGCGGAUGAAUUGUGGGUAGCGGAGAAAUUCCAAUCGAACUCGGAGAUAGCUGGUUCUCCCCGAAAUAGCUUUAGGGCUAGCCUCAUAUUAGAUACCCGGAGGUAAAGCACUGAAUGGCCUAGCGCCCGAGAGGGUAGCGAAGCCUAUCAAACUAAGAAUGCCGGAGUAUUGAUGUAUGGGAGUCAGACAGUGUGAGAUAAAUCUCAUUGUCAAAAGGGAAACAGCCCAGAUCUACAGCUAAGGUCCCAAAUUGUAUCUAAGUGGAAAACGAUGUGGAAAUACGCAGACAACCAGGAUGUUGGCUCAGAAGCAGCCACUCAUUUAAAGAGUGCGUAAUAGCUCACUGGUCGAGUGAUUCUGCGCCGAAAAUUUCCGGGGCUAAAACUUACUACCGAAGCUACGGCAUCAUUAUGAUGGGUAGGGGAGCUUUCUAUACGGGUUGAAGCAUGACCGUAAGGACAUGUGGACUGUAUAGAAGUGAGAAUGUUGGCAUGAGUAGCGAGAUGUGGGUGAGAAUCCCACAGGCCGUAAACCCAAGGUUUCCAGGGGAAGGUUCGUCCGCCCUGGGUAAGUCGGGACCUAAGGCGAGGCCGAAAGGCGUAGUGGAUGGAAAGCAGGCGAAAGAUUCCUGCACCCGUAUAUGGAGCGAAGGAGUGACGGAGACGGAUAGUGUGACCCUCUUAAUGGAUUGAGGGCGAAGCGAAGCGGCUGGUUACCAGGCAAAUCCGGUAACCUCAAGGCUAGGGCGUGACAGGCAAGCGAAAUCCAAGGAAAGUAGCGAAGCACAUGAUGACGGCUUCCAGGAAAAGCUUCUGGCAAUGCAUAUGCGGCCCGUACCAAAACCGACACAGGUGGGCAGGGAGAGAAUCCCGAGGUGAGCGAGAGAACUGUUGCCAAGGAACUCGGCAAAAUGACUCCGUAAGUUAGCGAGAAGGAGUGCUUAAGCAAUUAAGCCGCAGUGAAGAGGCCCAAGCGACUGUUUAACUAAAACACAGCUCUCUGCGAAGUCGCAAGACGAAGUAUAGGGGGUGACACCUGCCCGGUGCUGGAAGGUUAAGAGGAUCUGUUAAGAGCGAUCUGAAGCAGUGAUCCGAAGCCCCAGUGAACGGCGGCCGUAACUAUAACGGUCCUAAGGUAGCGAAAUUCCUUGUCAGGUAAGUUCUGACCCGCACGAAAGGUGUAACGAUUUGGGCGCUGUCUCGGCAGCAGACUCGGUGAAAUCUUAGUACCUGUGAAAAUGCAGGUUACCCGCAA
RNAcentral lists this ribosomal RNA (1915 nucleotides) under human gut metagenome. RNAcentral describes it as "bacterial LSU rRNA". It matches the Rfam family "Bacterial large subunit ribosomal RNA", at positions 131 to 2075 of the family's 2925-position model. The record is from RNAcentral.